GACGAACGCUGGCGGCGUGCUUAACACAUGCAAGUCGAACGGUAAGGCCCUUCGGGGUACACGAGUGGCGAACGGGUGAGUAACACGUGGGUGAUCUGCCCUGCACUUCGGGAUAAGCCUGGGAAACUGGGUCUAAUACCGGAUAGGACCACUGCCUGCAUGGGUGGUGGUGGAAAGCUUUUGCGGUGUGGGGUGGGCCCGCGGCCUAUCAGCUUGUUGGUGGGGUGAUGGCCUACCAAGGCGACGACGGGUAGCCGGCCUGAGAGGGUGACCGGCCACACUGGGACUGAGAUACGGCCCAGACUCCUACGGGAGGCAGCAGUGGGGAAUAUUGCACAAUGGGCGCAAGCCGGAUGCAGCGACGCGGCGGGAGGGAUGACGGCCUUCGGGUUGUAAACCUCUUUCAGCUAUGACGAAGCGCAAGUGACGGUAGUAGCAGAAGAAGGACCGGCCAACUACGUGCCAGCAGCCGCAGUAA
RNAcentral lists this ribosomal RNA (478 nucleotides) under uncultured bacterium. RNAcentral's name for it is "partial 16S ribosomal RNA". It matches the Rfam family "Bacterial small subunit ribosomal RNA", at positions 28 to 523 of the family's 1533-position model. The record is from RNAcentral.